CAUCAGCCGCGGUAAUACAGAGGGUGCAAGCGUUAAUCGGAAUUACUGGGCGUAAAGCGCGCGUAGGUGGUUUGUUAAGUUGGAUGUGAAAGCCCCGGGCUCAACCUGGGAACUGCAUCCAAAACUGGCAAGCUAGAGUACGGUAGAGGGUGGUGGAAUUUUCUGUGUAGCGGUGAAAUGCGUAGAUAUAGGAAGGAACACCAGUGGCGAAGGCGACCACCUGGACUGAUACUGACACUGAGGUGCGAAAGCGUGGGGAGCAAACAGGAUUAGAUACCCGCGUAGUCCCUGUCUCUUAUAC
Molecule: ribosomal RNA, 301 nt
Filed under: uncultured bacterium
Lineage: Bacteria
Description: partial 16S ribosomal RNA
Rfam family: Bacterial small subunit ribosomal RNA
Source: RNAcentral